Non-coding RNA from Podarcis lilfordi (Lilford's wall lizard), 1107 nucleotides. NCBI's taxonomy places the organism in Eukaryota, Metazoa, Chordata, Lepidosauria, Squamata, Lacertidae. The record is from the annotation of a GenBank genome assembly.
UUCCUCUUCUCAAGGGGACAUUCAUGGUUCUCCCCUCCCCAUUUUUUAAUCUUCUCAACAAUUCUGUGAGGUAGGUUAUAGACUGAGAGAUGAUUGGCCCAAGGUCACCCAGCAAACUUUAUGGCCGAGUGGGGAUUUAAACCCUGGUCUCUCAGGUCCUCCUCUGAAGCUGAAGCCAUAUACUACUGUGACUCUAUUCAGAUCCGGGAUAAAGGCAGAAAGAGUGUUAUGAAUGUAAUCCCAAUGGGGGUUACAAAUUUAAUCCCAAAUGUUUAUUAUGUCAUGUAGUCUUCUUACAUUUGCCAUAUAAAGGCAUAGAUGAUAGCUAAGAAAAAAAGCGGGUGGAACAUAUUUUUGGAGACAUCAGUGUGCUUAUCCCAAAACUGGAAAUAUCUCGAGAAAUCAGGACUGUGUGUAAUGUUAGAAUCCUAGAAUUGAAGAGUUGGAAGGGACCCUGAGAAUCAUCUAGUCCAACACUUUGCAAUGCAGGAAUAUGCAGUUGUCCCAUGUGGGGAUUGAACCUGCAACAUUGGCAUUAUCAGCACCAUGUUUUGUUGUCCUUGUUUUGAAAUUCUGCAUGUUUUUGUUUGUUUGUUUGUUUGACAACUAACGUGCCAGCUAAUAUUUAUGUUCUGGUGUUAAAGGAAGAUGGCAGAUUACUACUAGCAAUAGCUGGGUUUGGGGAAUCAGCUACUGUUUUAAUACAAAUUCAGUACAUUCCAGCAUUUGAUACACAUACUGAGAAAGGGAGGAUGUGUGAUUUGGUGGCGGGUUGCAACAGAUGGUUGCAUAAUCCUGUUUGUCUCCAUUCUUCCAGGGUCAGGUACUAUUUCUCCUUGCCAGGGUUUUUGUUUUCUUUUUAAUAUGAAGUCUUAAACAGUUGGAUGAACUAUUUUGCACUAUUUUCUUCCCAGGAUAAAAGGCUGCCUCUCUCUCUGUGACGAUAAUGGCAUAUGGCACAGACAAUGGUUAAAACAAAGGAAGAAUCACAGAGAAUUGUUCAUGCUGAAGUUGGUAGCCUUCAGAGCUGCAUGUACUCAGUUUCCAAAAGCCUGCGCCAGGUUAUUCACAUUCCACUACAGGAAAAAUAAACACAUUUGAAUGGUU